This 5395-nucleotide ribosomal RNA is filed under the name Triticum aestivum (bread wheat). RNAcentral's name for it is "partial small subunit ribosomal RNA". Lineage: Eukaryota; Viridiplantae; Streptophyta; Magnoliopsida; Poales; Poaceae. The record is from RNAcentral.
CGCCACACCAACAUCUCCAUGCCUCCUCCUUUCCUCUUUCCCAUCCUCCUUUCUCUGCUCGUUGACCAUACCAAUGGAGACCACAGGCACUCAGAAAAUGGCGCCGAUGAGGAGGGUCGGCCCUUGGCGCAAACCCGCAUCCGCGAGCGGUGGCAGCGUCAGAUCCCUACGUCUCGCAGGGCCAGGCCUCCCGUCCGCGCCGCGACGCCGCCGGCGUGGAGGCCCGGGCUCGGGCAGCCGCCGCGGUGUCUGGUGCGCCGGUGAGUUCUCUAGGGACUGCGUGGUGGACUGACGCGGCUUCCGGCGAUGCCAAGCCGUAGAUCGGAGUCGCCGAGCCAUAAGUAGCAGCUGGAUAGGGGGUCGUGUUCGUCCGGGGGCGCCGCCAUAGGGUGCUGGUGGUGCUGCCGUCGAGGUUGGGGAUGACGCUCCGCUGCCUGGAUGCCGCGUUUGUCCUCCCCAUGCGCUGCCCUUCUCCCUCGGCUUCCUCUGCGCCUAAUUCGUCCUAGACCGCCUCGUCUACAGGGUACUGAAUCAGUCCCCCCUCCUCCUCCCGUCCAGGUUCGCGUUGAGUUCCGCUCCUUUCAGCUGUUUGUAUGGUUUGUGUUUGUUUCAGCUGCAGACCACGCUGACCAUAGUAAAUCUGGUGCUCAUGCUUUUUCAUACAUGAUGUUAAUUCUUGAUAUUAUCAGUUCUCUUCGUUUUGGGGUAAGAUUAUGUGUGCCUGAAUAUAGACACGCAUUUUCUGUAAGAGAUGAAAAUUCUUUUGUUCUCGGUGCGUAUGCUGGUUGCAAGAAUUAGAAGGCUUAGGAGAUCACAAGAAUGAGGUAUCACAUCCCCUCUAAAAGAUUCUCAAGGAUACUCCGCACGUUUUGUAACAAACAGGGUGUAACUUGAAUGAUGUUGCCAUUAUUCAUUUCAGCAAUCUCACACCUUGUUCUGUGGUUUUUAAUUUCGAAUCUUAAUGUUUCAAGAAUCUGUUUGUCUAACCAUUAUUUUGGUACACAAUUUUAUCAGUCGGACAUUGCAUGGAUAAUUCAGGGAAAUUAAAACUUGUGGGAUAACCUUGCUACCUGAACCUUUGUGAGUGCAACCAAAUUCGUGGACACUCAGAUUAUAUGUGUUACAUUGGUGAAUUUUUUUUCGUAGGCAAAUUUAGUACCGUAAAAUUGAACCUCAUAUUAUGAUUUUUUUUUUUUGUUGAUCUGGUUCCCCAACACAUAAGAAUACAAUGGGUAACAUAAUUCUUUGUGUAACAUCACCUUUUGAAUUUGUUUGCGUGGUUGUGUAUUAUGCCACACAAUACUUCCUGAAACCUCCAUUGUUCUACCAUUUAGAACCAGCCUUAUCCUUUAUUUACAUAAUUGAACUUUUGGAUUCAAAUCAGUAUUGAUGUGCAGCAGCAAGUCUUCCUCUUUUAGCAGCGCUGCAGUGGAGAAAGUUUAAUGAGUUUACAACCAUUUUAGUUCAUAGGACUGGAAUAGUAUAGGUACUACGAUAGUCGAUAGAUAGCUUUUAGACAUUCUUUAAAAGAAUUAUAUGAAACUUGCUUUGUGACUUCAAAUUUGUUCGCCUUCUUCCUGAUACAUGUACAAAGAAAGGGGUUUGUAGCUCCUGUUAAGCAGAAAGACCGGGCCAUUUACCUAGAUAUUGCUCUUCAGUAUCAAGCACGAGUGGUUUCUCAUCUUUCAUAUUAUAGACUGAAAGGCUUCAUAAUAAUGACACUGAAGCACAAAGUGGCGAGAGAGCAGUACUCAAGGAUAUACUUCUAAUAAAGGGGGGAAGAAGGUGCAAGAUUUGAACCUGAAACUGUAGUCAAUCGGUGCGGUUUCUGUUCAUUUUUUCCCUUGCACAAAUAAAUUUGCUAAUUAUAUUAUGACCAUACUUCCAGUAACAAUAAGAAGCUGUUAGGUAUCAUGCUAUCUGGUAUUGUUUCUUUUGUGAUUAGCUGUGAAAUGGUAGUUUAACAAACUAGCAAACCACCAACUCUUCUUGUAGUAAUUACCAUGUACAGGCUACUGAGUUUGAACCAAGGUUUUUUAGAGUAUAUAGUGGCAUCUUAGUUUGUGUCAUGUACUGCAUCAGCUAAAUGUAUUAUAUUAGCAUGUCUAAUUAUGCAAUGCAGCCAACAAUUGCCUUUUUUUAUUAAAUAAAAAAGUGGGUUGUACAUUGCUUAUGAAAAACACAUUCGCAUCUGAUGUAUUGAUAAGUCCUCCCUUCAUAUGGUACUAUAUUUGACAUUAAAAAUUCCUGGCCAUUGUACGUGUUACUUAUCAACUUAUCAACAUUUGGUCCUAGAAUAAUACUUUUAGCACCAGUCUAUGAAAGAACAAGUGUGCCGUUAUCAUUUACAGGACAGUUUCUCACUUUCAUGUUAAGAGUGACUUUUGUUGUGUUAUAUAAAAAAAAACAUGUUGAUCUUGAUACCACCUGGAUACAUAGAGCUAGGCAGUGUAUGACAAAAUACAAAUAUAUGGUUAAAUCAAGUACCAAAGCAUGAGUUAUAGGACUUCAAUCCCAUCAUAUUAGUUCCAGCAUCUGCAUCUGGUACAGUAGCUACACAAAGGAUGUCAUCAGAAUUCAGCUGGCACUAUAAUCCUGGUGCAGGAGAUGAUGAAGAGAGUUGGGCACAUGGUCUAACUCCUACAUCGUUUUGGUAGCAUUCAUAUGAUCUGCUUGAUGGUGGACCAGCCAGAUCUUUAUAAUCAGUUGCCGCCUCCGCCUUACAUCCCAGAUCUUCCGGCUUUGCCGCGGUUGCCACCGGAGGAAGGGCCCCUCCCAAAACCCGCUUCUCCCCUGAGUCGUGGGAGCCGUCGUCCUCUCCCCUUGGUGCGCGGCGCCGGAGAGAGCGACAAGGAGGUCCAGCAGUCCGUGUUGUCACCGUCCUGCCUCGGUGUGUGGUGUCGAAGAAAAAGACGAGGAAGUUGAGUAGUACUACAUAGGUCCCCAUGAUGAGCCAUACAAGAUUUAGGACUUAUAUUUUUGACCCAACACACAAAAGAUCACUUGCCCUUGUGAGAGAAAGAAAAGCGAAGCUAGCAUAGAUCCAUAUGCUUUUAGACUUCCAGGCAUGCAUAAGAAUAUACACUUGAUUAGUUUAGUGUGAAGAGAUCACUGUCCAUGUGUUACUUAGAUUAGCUUUGCUACUUUGAGGCAAUAGAGUUUUGAGGCCCACUGGUUCAUUAAAGAGGUAUUUUUUCUUCUACCUCUCACGCUCUCAUUGUUCUUUUAUUUUGUGCUUCAAGAUUGUUCUUGUGUUUCCGCUUAAUCUAAGGUUGUCAACAAUCAACUGUUUGCUAUUUGUAGGAUUUUAAUGUAAACACCCCCUCGGCCAGGACAUGCCUUCGGGUUCUUCCAAGUAGAAAGAUGAUUUUGUUAAAUCUAUCUUUAGAAUAAAUAUGAAAAGUUAACUUAGAGAGGAGUUGUAGAGAUAUAAAUUCAUAUACCAUUGUGUUCUCUGAAUAUUGCUAUGGCUGAUAUGCUACUUGAUUAAAUAACUUGUGGUUUUCUUAAACUAGCAAUGUUUCUAAUUUUCUGUUUUUGGGAGGAUAGCAGUAAUUUGCGUGGUGCUAACAUCCGUAAUUUGGUGAGGGCUUUCCAUUAAUUGGAUAUUGAGAUGUCCAGUUGUUGAUAUUUGGAAAAUCUGCUCAUCUUUUCUUUUGUUGGUCUCACCAUUGUAGUGCGAAUCCCAAAGAAGUGAAGGAAAUUUAUGGAAUUGUGUUGUGCUGCUAACUUUGCUUUUUUUUUUUCAUUAUGUAGUUGAGGCCCUUAAUCUUAGCUACAUAUACUUUUUUUGCGGAUUACUAGCUGGGGUUCAGUUCAAUUACUCGAUUCAAAGGUUCAGAUAUAUGUUUUUCGUAUUCAAUUCUUGCUCUUAUCAGUAGAAAUUGAUGGCGCUCUUUUCUCCUUUUUCAUGAUUUUAUGUUUUGAUGUUGGCAAAUUACUAGCAGAAAUAAAGCAAGACAUUUGUAGGCGGUGGAAAGAAGGUUAGCAUAUCUGAGUUCUUGGUGUUCAGUAUGAUAAAGGGAAACAUGUUUCUUUUUUUUAUUGUGGUCAUAUUAGUUAGUUCAUGUGAUCUUUCAUGCUCUAAAUAGACUAAGAUGAUACCUUGGGCAUAUACGUAAAUCCCAUGAUAUUGCUUAUAUAUGCAUGAAGAUGAAACAUUUAAUAGUCACAUAGUGGUUUUCUUGUUGGAUUUCUUUCUGCUUUGUAUGUGGGCAUUAAGAAAAUUUGCCAAUACUCCUUUUUUCUUCGAAUUAUAAAGAGUACUUGACUGCAAAGGAUAGGACCCUAUGCAAAAACUAAACACUCAUUCAAAAUUGGCACUAGCAUUCAUAUUUACGCAAGAUUUUGUUUUCUUUAGUUUCUAAUACCACAGUUGACGUUUCCUUUCUAGAACAAUUGCUCAAAAUAUUUAUUUUGAUAUUAGCAUUCAUAUUUAUGCAAUUCUAAUAUGCGUUGGUUGGUUCAUAUUCCCUAAUACUAUAGCUGGUAUUGUCUUCGUGGAAUAAGAUGGAAGAAGCGAGCGUUUACGCUGUCGAUAUUUGCAUUGGGGUUUAUGCAACACUAAUAAGUUUCAAUAGGUUCAGUGUUUUGGGAUUGUUUUGUCCAGCAAGAUCAAAAAGAAACAUGGCCAACUUCAAAGGUUGUGUAGUCAAGUCCAUGUGCCAGCAACAUAUAACCUGUGAUCUUUUAACCAGUGACAAAGGGGAGGACACACUGCUUCAGAACUGAAACAUUUACCUUUUGUGGAGCUGGCAAUUAGAGAGACAGUGCCCUGCUUUGUCCAGAUAGCUUCAGGUUUCUGCUGGAACGAUUAUGUCCCCGCAAUUGCAAAGCCUGCGAUUGAGCUACAGAAAUUCAGGGUUCCUAUCUUUAUGAAACAACACAUACACUGGCCGUGGAACCGGUCUCCCGCAUAGGUAACGGUCGAUGUCACUAACUACUGCUAGAUAAUCAGAGUAGUAUCAGAAGCUCCAUUGCUGGAGCAAGGCUUGCCAAACCCACAGUUGGAUGACACCGGUGGAUGCAAGACAGUGAUGCAUCCAUGGUUAUUUGAGAAAACAAACACUAUUUGAUGGGUCCACUUCAUCUCGCAAUGGACUUUAAGAUGGGGAAUUCAUUUGUCAGGUCAUGGUACUGGUACACUCUAAUUAUUCAGAAAAGGAUCCAGUAUACUAUUAUGGCAACGUCCAUCAGCCGAUUACGGAGAUCUUUGAGAAUCAGCUGUGGCCUUUUUAGGAUUUUAUCUCUCUGAAUUAUUUUUUGAAUGAGAUGUAGUUUUUGCGGCCAAGAUAAGCAUGAUACGCAUGCCCAAGUCUCAUGAUCAGUUUAUUUUCUUUUUGGUUCUGAUGCUAUGUAUUUUUUCUUAAUAAAACCUUAUGAUCUAUAAUUUCUC